GACGAACGCUGGCGGCGUGCUUAACACAUGCAAGUCGAACGGAAAGGCCCUGCUUUUGCGGGGUGCUCGAGUGGCGAACGGGUGAGUAACACGUGAGUAACCUGCCCUUGACUGUGGGAUAACUUCAGGAAACUGGGGCUAAUACCGGAUAGGAGCUCCUGCUGCAUGGGGGGGGUUGGAAAGAUUCGGCGGUUGGGGAUGGACUCGCGGCUUAUCAGCUUGUUGGUGGAGUAGUGGCUUACCAAGGCUUUGACGGGUAGCCCGCCUGAGAGGGUGACCGGCCACAUUGGGACUGAGGUACGGCGCAGUCUGCUACGGGAGGCAGCAGUGGGAAACAUUGCACAAUGGGCCGAAGCCUGAUGCAAAGGCGCCGCGUGCGGGAUGCCGGCCUUCGGGUUGUAAACCGCUUUCGCCUGUGACGAAGCGUGAGUGACGGUACUGGGUAAAGAAGCACCGGCUAACUACGUG
This 468-nucleotide ribosomal RNA is filed under the name uncultured bacterium. RNAcentral's name for it is "partial 16S ribosomal RNA". It matches the Rfam family "Bacterial small subunit ribosomal RNA", at positions 28 to 507 of the family's 1533-position model. The record is from RNAcentral.